This 216-nucleotide ribosomal RNA is filed under the name Glomeromycotina sp. RNAcentral's name for it is "partial small subunit ribosomal RNA". Lineage: Eukaryota; Fungi; Glomeromycota. The record is from RNAcentral.
GGGUCAGUAGGUUGGUCGUGCCACCGGUACGUACUGGUCUCACUGAUUCCUCCUUCCUGAAGAACCGUAAUGCCAUUAAUUUGGUGUUGCGGGGAAACAGGACUGUUACUUUGAAAUAAUUAGAGUGUUUAAUGCAAGCUAACGCUUGAAUACAUUAGGAUGGAAUAAUGAAUUAGGACGAUCGAUCCUAUUUUGUUGGUUUCUAGGAUUGACGUA